GAAAUGCGAUAAGUAAUGUGAAUUGCAGAAUUCAGUGAAUCAUCGAAUCUUUGAACGCACCUUGCGCUCCUUGGUAUUCCUUGGAGAAUGCAUGUUUGAGUAUCAUGAAAUCUUCAAAGUAAAUCUUUUGUUAACUCAAUUGGUUUCUACUUUGGUAUUGGAGGUCUUUGCAGCUUCACACCUGCUCCUCUUUGUUCAUUAGCUGGAUCUCAGUGUUAUGCUUGGUUCCACUCGGCGUGAUAAGUUAUCUAUCGCUGAGGACACUGUAAAAGGUGGCCAAGGUAAAUGCAGAUGAACCGCUUCUAAUAGUCCAUUGACUUGGACAAUACUUUUAUGAUCUGAUCUCAAAUCAGGUAGGACUACCCGCUGAACUUAAGC
RNAcentral lists this unclassified non-coding RNA (378 nucleotides) under plant metagenome. RNAcentral's name for it is "partial contains 5.8S ribosomal RNA, internal transcribed spacer 2, and large subunit ribosomal RNA". The stretch from base 1 to 105 matches the Rfam family "5.8S ribosomal RNA", at positions 50 to 154 of the family's 154-position model. The record is from RNAcentral.